GAAUAAAACAGGGCACUCCCAUCACCUCUAGCACUCAGGAGAUCCCAGGGGUUUUAGGAGCUGGUUCAGAGACUGAAUAUAUAUUUCUCAUGAUGUCACAGGGGUGCACCCAGUUUUGUGACCUACUUCCUGUGUGACUUUGAGUGACUUAACCUCCUGGGCCUGUUGCCUCACCUGGACAUUGAGGAUCAAGGCACCUCCCUCCCUCAUAAGGCUGCUGGUACAUGAAUUCAUGCCAUCAUCCCCAAGAUACACUCAGUGCCUGGUACAUAACAGUGGUCCAGAGGUCACCGGCCCCCUGGGCGCUUGGCCAGGCUGCGUCCCCCUGUGAACUUGCCCUGGUUUGGUUGGGCCAUGGGUGUCUUUGCAGACACCGACUCCCUUGAGCUGGGUGAAGGGGAGCAAGUCUGGGGAAGGCUUUGCCCUCUGCCCCGUUUCCAUUUGCUUGGCUGUUAAGCCAGGGACUUCCGCAGGGAAGAUUUCCUUUCCUGAACUUCACGGAUAAGAAUCCCCGUGGGUUCUUCUUAACAUGGAAAUUCUGGGCCCUCUUAUAUCCAUUAAAUCAGAACCUCCAGGGGAGGGAGAGGAAGCCUGCAGCUUUAACAAGGGCCCCGUUGAUUCCUGUUUUGGGGGGAGGCUGGGAGAUGCCACGUGCCCAGGUAGGCCCGUCCAGUGAGGAGUUCCCAUUGUGGCUCAGCAGGUUAAGAACCUGACACAGUGUCCAUGAGGAGGUGGGGUCGAUCCCUGGCCUUGCUCAGUGGGUUGAGGAUCUGUCAUUGCUCCAAACUGCAGUGUAGUUUGUAGGCACGGCUCAGAUCUGGCAUUGCUGUGGCUGUGGCAUAGGCUGGCAGCUGCAGCUCCCAUUCGACCCCUAGCCCAGGAAUUUCCAUGUACCACAAGUGCAGCCCUAAAAAGAAAAAAAAACGUAGUUGAUACUUGAAAUGUGGUCCCCAAAUGGCAGCGCUGACAUGUUCUGGAGUUUGUGAAGGAGGUUUUCAGAGUGUGGUGCUGGCUGCCAGCGCCAGCUUCACCUGGGAGCUUCUUAGAAAUGCAGACUCUUGAAUUCCACGGAGACUUAGGGAAUCAGGCACUGGGGUGGGGGUGGGGGGGCUUCUGGUCUAUGUUUGAACAGCUGCUCCCCGCCCCCCCACCCAGGGGAGUCAGGCUUGAGAGCCUCUGCUCUAUGCCCUAGAUUUAAAAAAAAAAAAAAAAAAAAAAAAAAAAAAAAAAACAGUGCAAAUUGCUUUUGUGUUUAUUUAUUUAUUUUUGCUUUUUUUAGGGCCGCACCAGUGGCAUAUGGAUGUUGCUAUUCUAGGGGGUAGAAUCGGAGCUACGGAUCAGCCUCUACCACAGCUCACAGCAACGCCAGAUCGCCAACCCACUGAUUGAGGCUGGGGAUCGAACCCGUGUCCUCAUGGAUGCUAGUCGGAUUUGUUUCUCCUGUGCCCCAACUGGAACUCCUGUGCCCCCGAUUUGAACGAGUGAACAAGACAAUACAAAGAGCAUAGAAAUGGCUGCACUCUGGGCCUGGCUCCAUGUCCCAUCUGGGAAAAAGGUGUAACAUCCCCUUCCUGGUGGACGUCGGAGUUCAGACGUGGUACCUGGUGAUUUCACCCGCUCAGUCUCUGUAAGCCUUGGUAUUCCUGCCACUGUCUGAUAAGAUGUUCUGGUUUUUUUCUGUCUGCUUUCCCACUCCACGCCCAUGUUUUCUUUGCUCUCUCAAAAGCGGCUGCGUGCAGACACUGCGGAGGUCCUCAGAGCCAGGAACGACUCACGUGCCCAGAAGCCACACUGCCCACCAAACUGCCGACACCUGCCCACAGGUGCCUGGACAUUCUUUGAGCUAAGAUUCAGAGAUGUGGGCUCCUCUCCUCUCCAGGGAAAGUUGGGGGGAAGCGAACUCAAACUCUGUUGUUGGUCUACACUGCCUUUCGCCAGAGGAGCAGAAGAACAAACAGAAGCCACAUGUCCUGUGCCAAAUGCCUGGCCUGUUGACAGAUCUGCUGUCUUGGUGCCACUUCAUAGGCACAGCCCGCCUUCCUCCUUAUGUAGCCACUUCUUAAAAUGUAUGCUUAAUUUCACAAAUCCUCUUCCAGGCCUGUUCCGAGCACUUUAAAUCCAUUGAUUCGGUUAAGCCUCCCACUGUCAUUCUGCCCAUCUUACAAGGGAGGAAACCAGGACUUGGAGGGGGUUAGGAAACUUGCCCACAGUCGUACCAUUUGUCAGUUCUAUGGUGGUUCCGUGGUGAUUGUACUUCAACUUUGAGGAAAUUUCAUAGAGAUGGGACCUAGCACCUGCAGGGCCUUAAAUCAUCGGCCUCAGGGAAUUCCCAUUAUGAUUCAGUGUUAACAAACCCGACGAGUAUCCAUGAGGAUGCAGGUUCAACCCCUGGCCUCGCUUGGUGGGUUACGGAUCCGGCGUUGCUGUGAGCUGUGGCAUAGGUCACAGAUGUGGCUUGGAUCCUGCAUUGCUGUGGUUGUGGUGUAGGCCAGCAGCUAUAGCUCCAAUUAGACCCCCCUAGCCUGGGAACUUCCAUAUGCCGUGGGUGUGGCCC
Molecule: long non-coding RNA, 2554 nt
Filed under: Sus scrofa (pig)
Lineage: Eukaryota; Metazoa; Chordata; Mammalia; Artiodactyla; Suidae
Description: lncRNA (ENSSSCG00065006754.1)
Source: RNAcentral